GUUGGGCUUCCUCCAUCUAACCGAUUCGCUACGAUUUUAGUCAUGGUGGAUCGUGGGAAGGUUUGGCACCUCGAUGUCAGCUCUUCGCCACUUGGGGCUGUAGUAUGUUCCAAGGGUUGGGCUGUUCGCCCAUUAAAACGGUACGUGAGCUGAGUUCAAAACGUCGUGAGACAGUUC
This 177-nucleotide non-coding RNA is filed under the name Helianthus annuus (common sunflower). RNAcentral describes it as "Bacterial large subunit ribosomal RNA". It matches the Rfam family "Bacterial large subunit ribosomal RNA", at positions 2481 to 2632 of the family's 2925-position model. Lineage: Eukaryota; Viridiplantae; Streptophyta; Magnoliopsida; Asterales; Asteraceae. The record is from Rfam by way of RNAcentral.